Molecule: non-coding RNA, 1362 nt
Organism: Struthio camelus australis
Lineage: Eukaryota; Metazoa; Chordata; Aves; Struthioniformes; Struthionidae
Source: RefSeq, a predicted model, not a curated record
AGCCUCACUACCUUCUCUCUCAAGAAUUACAGCCUUCAGGAAGAAAGAAGUGUAUGGAAGUAUACAAAUUGAGGAAAUCAGAGUGUACAUCGAUGCGUGAAGGAACUAUGGCAAGAGCUUCCAGAAUUGCCCGGUUCGCUGGUACCUCAUAUCAGCACGCCAUGACAAUCUGGUUCCCUAUAGAGUUGCCUUGACCUUUGUCAAGAUACAAGGAAAAGAUUUUUCAGCCGUGUUCUUCAUCCCUGUCUACUUUGGUCAAAUGACACUCUCUGACAGGUACAGCAGAAACUUGUGAGAACUAGAAAGCCCCCAGUGUUAACCAUGGUUUCCUGAAGAGAAACAUUACAAUGUGAUCUGAGGUUCGUUGCACUGGAGGAGAUGCAAAAGGCUGCUGGCCAAGGUGCGCUUCUCCUGACACCACAGCCCAGGGAGAGGCAAGGAGCUGCAGCCUGUACAAACCACCUAGGGCACAGCAGCCAGGGGCAUGGAAAAGAUAAAUUCAGAGCUCCAGACUGAACCAAAUGUCCCAGAGUGCACAACCAACAUCUGAGGAGGAACAGCUGUAGCAAGAGGGGAGGAGACUUUUUGACAAGGUUCCCAUCAAAUGAUGACAUAGGAUAUGUGACUUUCCUAAUGGUGUACUGGAGUAUUUGUUUGAAGAGUAAGCUCCAGCUGGCAUGAUUUCAAAACCUGACUGUAAAUUACUUCUCAUCCACAGCUGUCUGAACCACAAAGACAUGAACUCAGGUUCUUCACAUUGCUUCAUUCUGACAAGAAGGACUAAAACAUUUUCACAUCAUAAUUACUCUAAGUUGCAUUGUUAAAUCUUGGCCAUGAAACAGAUCUUGAUAUGGUAUCUUUAUCCAUUAUUUUGACAUUGCUGUACAUAAUAUGGAUCAAUUUUUAGAGUAAAAAGUGCUGAAGGAGUCUCUAUAAAGAGGUAUAGGCAAUAAAUGUUGACAUUCUACUCUUCUUGAGAGACAAAAUAAUUGAGUAGUGAAUAUAUUGCAUUAUGUAUGAGCAAAUGCUUCAAGCUUAUAAUCUUGCAAUGACUCUUUAUUCAUAUUUGGGUCCAGCUGAAUUCAGUGGAAUGACAGGAUCUAAACUUAAAAAUAUUCAUCUGUAACCAUUAUGCUAUAUACUCUUUGUUUUCUAAACAGAUUGAGCAUACCUCCCCAAGAGGGGUAGAGUAAAGAAGUAAUCAUGCACAUUAACUUGUCCUGGCAUGAGGGGAAAUUGCUUUUUGGAAAAAUUAUAGUGAGGAAGUUGAAGAUCGUAUUAAAUGAGAAAAUUGAUUUGACAUCUCAUCUCAAUCUUUGUGUCCUGUAAGCAUUCUUAAAACUUAGAAAAUUAAUAAAUAUA